UACGUAGGGCGCAAGCGUUAAUCGGGAUUACUGGGCGUAAAGCGUGCGCAGGCGGCUUUGCAAGACAGAUGUGAAAUCCCCGGGCUCAACCUGGGAACUGCAUUUGUGACUGCAUCGCUCGAGUGCGGCAGAGGGGGAUGGAAUUCCGCGUGUAGCAGUGAAAUGCGUAGAUAUGCGGAGGAACACCGAUGGCGAAGGCAAUCCCCUGGGCCUGCACUGACGCUCAUGCACGAAAGCGUGGGGAGCAAACAGG
This 253-nucleotide ribosomal RNA is filed under the name uncultured bacterium. RNAcentral describes it as "partial 16S ribosomal RNA". It matches the Rfam family "Bacterial small subunit ribosomal RNA", at positions 524 to 776 of the family's 1533-position model. The record is from RNAcentral.